Small nuclear RNA from Cavia porcellus (domestic guinea pig), 104 nucleotides. The record is from RefSeq and is a predicted model, not a curated record. Lineage: Eukaryota; Metazoa; Chordata; Mammalia; Rodentia; Caviidae.
GUGCUCGCUUCGGCAGCACAUACACUAAAACUGGAACGAUACAGAAAUUAGCAUGGCCCCUGCACAAGGAUGAAACGCAAAUUCGUGAAGCAUUCCAUAUUUUU